GACAGAGGGUGCAAACGUUGUUCGGAAUUACUGGGCGUAAAGCGCGUGUAGGCGGCCCGGUAAGUCCGCUGUGAAAGUCCAGGGCUCAACCCUGGGAUGCCGGUGGAUACUGUCGGGCUCGAGUCCGGAAGAGGCGAGUGGAAUUCCUGGUGUAGCGGUGAAAUGCGUAGAUAUCAGGAGGAACACCGGUGGCGAAGGCGGUUCUCUGGGCCUUACCUGACGCUGAGGAGCGAAAGCAUGGGGAGCAAACAGG
This 253-nucleotide ribosomal RNA is filed under the name uncultured bacterium. Its description in RNAcentral is "partial 16S ribosomal RNA". It matches the Rfam family "Bacterial small subunit ribosomal RNA", at positions 524 to 776 of the family's 1533-position model. The record is from RNAcentral.